AAUUGUAGAGUUUGAUCAUGGCUCAGAUUGAACGCUGGCGGCAGGCCUAACACAUGCAAAUCGAGCGGUAGCACAAGAGAGCUGCUCUCCCGGUGACGAGAGAGCGGAAGGGUGAGUAAUGUCCGGGAAACUGCCUGAUGGUGGGGAAUAACUACUAGUGGAAACGGUAGCUAAUACCGCAUAACGUCGCAAGACCAAAGUGGGGAACCUUCGGGCCGCACGCCAUCAGAUGUGUCCAGGUGGGAUUAGCUAGCAGGUGGGGUAACGGCUCACCUAGGCGACGAUCCCUAGCUGGUCUGAGAGGAUGAGCAGCCACACUGAAACUGAGACACGGUCCAGACUCCUACGGGAGGCAGCAGUGGGGAAUAUUGCACAAUGGGCGCAAGCCUGAUGCAGCC
RNAcentral lists this ribosomal RNA (398 nucleotides) under Serratia symbiotica. RNAcentral describes it as "bacterial SSU rRNA". It matches the Rfam family "Bacterial small subunit ribosomal RNA", at positions 1 to 393 of the family's 1533-position model. The record is from RNAcentral. Lineage: Bacteria; Pseudomonadati; Pseudomonadota; Gammaproteobacteria; Enterobacterales; Yersiniaceae.